AGAUUGAACGCUAGCGGCAUGCCUAACACAUGCAAGUCGAACGGUAACAGGCCCUUCGGGGUGCUGACGAGUGGCGGACGGGUGAGUAAGGCAUCGGAAUCUGCCCUGAUGUGGGGGAGUAACGUAGGGAAACGUUAACGCUAAUACCGCAUACGACCGAGAGGUGAAAGACGGGGGACCGGAAAGGCCUCGCGCAGCAGGAUGAGCCGAUGUCCGAUUAGCUAGUUGGUGGGGUAAAGGGACCCGACCCAACGGCGGACGAUCGGUAGGCUGGUCUGAGAGGAUGGUCAGCCACACUGGGACGUGAGACACGGCCCGACGACUCCUACGGGAGGGCAGC
RNAcentral lists this ribosomal RNA (340 nucleotides) under uncultured prokaryote. RNAcentral's name for it is "partial 16S ribosomal RNA". It matches the Rfam family "Bacterial small subunit ribosomal RNA", at positions 26 to 352 of the family's 1533-position model. The record is from RNAcentral.